GAUGGGAGAAGCUAGCUAGGGAUAGGAGGAGAUUUCUCUGGUGCUGUGCUGGUUGCCGAGCUAGGCCUGGCCAGUCACCGCCAUGCGUGCGAGUAUGAAAUUUCAGCACCGCUAGCACAGGUCAAUGAUUGACAGGCCAACCACAAAAUAAGGAGACACCAACCUUCAUAGUAAAAGGUCCUACAAGAGAAGGAAUCUGACGCACUUGACCACCUGAGAUGAGAUCGGAGUGAAUCGCAAUUCACAAGCGCCAGAAGCACACCAGACUCACGCACUGCAGGCCGCAGAGCAGCGAUCUCGGAUUAACAGAUAGAUAGAUAGGUAAGCUCCAUGCCGCCGACGGGGCCCAGGAAGAAGAAGCAGAAGAAUCUUCGUCAGUUGG
This is a long non-coding RNA of Triticum dicoccoides, 382 nucleotides long. RefSeq lists it as uncharacterized. Lineage: Eukaryota; Viridiplantae; Streptophyta; Magnoliopsida; Poales; Poaceae. The record is from RefSeq and is a predicted model, not a curated record. The transcript has 3 exons.